This 64-nucleotide transfer RNA is filed under the name Taenia laticollis. RNAcentral's name for it is "tRNA-Met". The record is from RNAcentral. Lineage: Eukaryota; Metazoa; Platyhelminthes; Cestoda; Cyclophyllidea; Taeniidae.
AAACUAGUAAGUUAAGUAAACUGUGGGGUUCAUGAUUCCAUUAUACGCGUUAGUGUCUAGUUGA